UAGCUCAGAUGGUAAAGCGUCUGCCUACAAUGCAGGAGACCCGGGUUUGAUCCCUGG
This 57-nucleotide transfer RNA is filed under the name Muntiacus reevesi (Reeves' muntjac). It matches the Rfam family "tRNA", at positions 8 to 63 of the family's 71-position model. Rfam says of the family: Transfer RNA (tRNA) molecules are approximately 80 nucleotides in length. Their secondary structure includes four short double-helical elements and three loops (D, anti-codon, and T loops). Further hydrogen bonds mediate the characteristic L-shaped molecular structure. tRNAs have two regions of fundamental functional importance: the anti-codon, which is responsible for specific mRNA codon recognition, and the 3' end, to which the tRNAs corresponding amino acid is attached (by aminoacyl-tRNA synthetases). tRNAs cope with the degeneracy of the genetic code in two manners: having more than one tRNA (with a specific anti-codon) for a particular amino acid; and 'wobble' base-pairing, i.e. permitting non-standard base-pairing at the 3rd anti-codon position. Lineage: Eukaryota; Metazoa; Chordata; Mammalia; Artiodactyla; Cervidae. RNAcentral also lists the same sequence under 3 other names. The record is from Rfam by way of RNAcentral.